RNAcentral lists this ribosomal RNA (497 nucleotides) under uncultured bacterium. RNAcentral describes it as "partial 16S ribosomal RNA". It matches the Rfam family "Bacterial small subunit ribosomal RNA", at positions 28 to 507 of the family's 1533-position model. The record is from RNAcentral.
GAUGAACGCUGGCGGCGUGCCUAAUACAUGCAAGUCGAGCGAACAGACGAGGAGUUUGCUCCUCUGACGUUAGGGGCGGACGGGUGAGAAAAAUGGGGAUAACCUACCUAAAAGAGAGGGAUAAUUUGGGGAAACGGGAGAAAAAACAGUAUAAAAUAUUGAACCGCUUGGUUAAAUGGGAAAGGACGGUUUGGUGGACACUAAUGGGGGGAAAAGAGCGGCUUUAGGAGGUUGGGAAGGAAAGGGCUUACCAAGGGAACGAUGCGUUGCCAACCUGAAGGGCUGGUCGGCCACACUGGAACUGUGGCACGCUCCCGACUCCUACGGGAGGCAGCAGUAGGGAAUCUUCCGCAAUGGGCGAAAACCUGACGGAGCAACGCCGAGUGAGUGAUGAAAGUCUUCUGAUCGUAAAACUCUGUUAUUAGGGAAGAACAAAUGUGUAAGUAACUAUGCACGUCUUGACGGUACCUAAUCAGAAAGCCACGGCUAACUACGUG